Molecule: ribosomal RNA, 698 nt
Filed under: Bacillus sp. (in: firmicutes)
Lineage: Bacteria; Bacillati; Bacillota; Bacilli; Caryophanales; Bacillaceae
Description: bacterial SSU rRNA
Rfam family: Bacterial small subunit ribosomal RNA
Source: RNAcentral
GGCGUGCCUAAUACAUGCAAGUCGAGCGGACAGAUGGGAGCUUGCUCCCUGAUGUUAGCGGCGGACGGGUGAGUAACACGUGGGUAACCUGCCUGUAAGACUGGGAUAACUCCGGGAAACCGGGGCUAAUACCGGAUGGUUGUUUGAACCGCAUGGUUCAGACAUAAAAGGUGGCUUCGGCUACCACUUACAGAUGGACCCGCGGCGCAUUAGCUAGUUGGUGAGGUAACGGCUCACCAAGGCGACGAUGCGUAGCCGACCUGAGAGGGUGAUCGGCCACACUGGGACUGAGACACGGCCCAGACUCCUACGGGAGGCAGCAGUAGGGAAUCUUCCGCAAUGGACGAAAGUCUGACGGAGCAACGCCGCGUGAGUGAUGAAGGUUUUCGGAUCGUAAAGCUCUGUUGUUAGGGAAGAACAAGUGCCGUUCAAAUAGGGCGGCACCUUGACGGUACCUAACCAGAAAGCCACGGCUAACUACGUGCCAGCAGCCGCGGUAAUACGUAGGUGGCAAGCGUUGUCCGGAAUUAUUGGGCGUAAAGGGCUCGCAGGCGGUUUCUUAAGUCUGAUGUGAAAGCCCCCGGCUCAACCGGGGAGGGUCAUUGGAAACUGGGGAACUUGAGUGCAGAAGAGGAGAGUGGAAUUCCACGUGUAGCGGUGAAAUGCGUAGAGAUGUGGAGGAACACCAGUGGCGAANG